UACGUAGGGUGCGAGCGUUGUCCGGAAUUAUUGGGCGUAAAGAGCUUGUAGGCGGUUUGUCGCGUCUGCUGUGAAAAUCCGGGGCUCAACCCCGGACUUGCAGUGGGUACGGGCAGACUAGAGUGUGGUAGGGGAGACUGGAAUUCCUGGUGUAGCGGUGAAAUGCGCAGAUAUCAGGAGGAACACCGAUGGCGAAGGCAGGUCUCUGGGCCACUACUGACGCUGAGGCGCGAAAGCGUGGGGAGCAAACAGGAUUAGAUACCCCGGUAGU
RNAcentral lists this ribosomal RNA (271 nucleotides) under uncultured prokaryote. RNAcentral's name for it is "partial 16S ribosomal RNA". It matches the Rfam family "Bacterial small subunit ribosomal RNA", at positions 524 to 794 of the family's 1533-position model. The record is from RNAcentral.